AUGACUGUUACACACCCGCCAGCUCUCACACCGCUGGUGCAAGCGCUACGUUCUUGGUGUCGCCACUGGCAUCACACCCUGGUGGCAGGACGCCUGCGGUCUCGAGUUGCGACUCAACGGAGCGAACUGAACAGCUGCCCCACUCCCGAGGAGUGUGCGGCGUGGCACGUCGCGUGGAAAUCUAGGACAACAACAACAACGGUGAUGAUAAAAUGGGGAGCACUUGAAGACCUUCAGCAAACACAUGGUGUCCAGCAGCACUUCCCUGCUUUCCUGCAAUCACGUUCCCCUCUUGGGGCAGCAGAUGGAGUUGGUAGGUUGGGCUCUUGUCUCUUAUGCCUUCAUCCCUCCUGUGAGUAUUUAUUGAGUAUCUACUUAUGUGCCCCACACUCUUCUAGGCAUUAAAGAUUUUCAGGGAAGUGUUAGACACACCUUAUGGGCUAAGAUGUUGCACUUGACCCCAGCCAGCUGGACCAAAAGAAAAUGGAGUCAGUCGUGUUAAAUUGAAACUGGAAUUUCACAGGAGUCUUCGUGUUUGCUCUGAGUCCACUUUAACCCAUGCGAAAAAGUACUCUGAAGUAACUUGAUACAGACCAGUUGGUUUUCCCCUACUGCUCUGUCUCCUUGCUGUUUACAAACCCCACUGCUCAGGCCUGGCCCACACAAGCAUCCAUUCUGUUUUGCAGGAUGGUGUGUGCCCCAGUUCACAAUCCCCCCAAAAGGCCACUUAGAUGGGCAUUUAAAUUUGAUGUCAUUUUGUUUUGAAUAGAACAAAGCAGACAAAAUCCCUGCUCCCCCU
RNAcentral lists this long non-coding RNA (799 nucleotides) under Fukomys damarensis (Damara mole-rat). Its description in RNAcentral is "lncRNA (ENSFDAG00000029614.1)". The record is from RNAcentral. Lineage: Eukaryota; Metazoa; Chordata; Mammalia; Rodentia; Bathyergidae.